This 2037-nucleotide ribosomal RNA is filed under the name marine metagenome. RNAcentral's name for it is "bacterial LSU rRNA". It matches the Rfam family "Bacterial large subunit ribosomal RNA", at positions 3 to 2197 of the family's 2925-position model. The record is from RNAcentral.
UCAAGUGACUAAGCGUAUACGGUGGAUGCCUUGGCAGUCAGAGGCGAUGAAGGACGUUGUAGCCUGCGAAAAGCUUCGGGGAGUCGGCAAACAGACUUUGAUCCGGAGAUGUCCGAAUGGGGAAACCCACCUGGUGUAAGCCAGGUACCUUGCACUGAAUACAUAGGUGUAAGGAGCGAACGAGGGGAACUGAAACAUCUAAGUACCCUUAGGAAAAGAAAUCAAUUGAGAUUCCCCCAGUAGCGGCGAGCGACCGGGGAGUAGCCUGCAAGUGAUAGCAGUUGGGUUAGUGGAACGGUCUGGAAAGUCCGGCGAUAGAGGGUGAUAGCCCCGUACACGAAAACCUGAUUGUGAUACUAAGCUUGCGACAAGUAGGUCGGGACACGAGUUAUCUUGACUGAACAUGGGGGGACCAUCCUCCAAGGCUAAAUACUACUGACUGACCGAUAGUGAACCAGUACCGUGAGGGAAAGGCGAAAAGAACCCCGGAGAGGGGAGUGAAAUAGAACCUGAAACCGUAUACGUACAAGCAGUGGGAGCAGACUUGUUCUGUGACUGCGUACCUUUUGUAUAAUGGGUCAGCGACUUAUUGUCUGUAGCAAGCUUAACCGUUUAGGGGAGGCGUAGGGAAACCGAGUCUUAAUAGGGCGUCAUAGUUGCAGGCAAUAGACCCGAAACCGGGCGAUCUAGCCAUGGGCAGGUUGAAGGUUGAGUAACAUCAACUGGAGGACCGAACUCACGUAUGUUGAAAAAUGCGGGGAUGAGCUGUGGAUCGGAGUGAAAGGCUAAUCAAGCCCGGAGAUAGCUGGUUCUCCUCGAAAGCUAUUUAGGUAGCGCCUCAUGUCUCACCACUGGGGGUAGAGCACUGUUUCGGCUAGGGGGUCAUACCGACCUACCAACCCGUUGCAAACUCCGAAUACCGGUGAGUGCAAUCAUGGGAGACACACGGCGGGUGCUAACGUUCGUCGUGGAGAGGGAAACAACCCAGACCGCCAGCUAAGGUCCCAAAUAUCAGUUAAGUGGGAAACGAUGUGGGAAGGUUUAGACAGCUAGGAGGUUGGCUUAGAAGCAGCCAUCCUUUAAAGAAAGCGUAAUAGCUCACUAGUCGAGUCGGCCUGCGUGGAAGAUAUAACGGGGCUAAAUCAUAAACCGAAGCUACGGAUCUUAAAUUUAUUUAAGAUGGUAGAAGAGCGUUCUGUAAGCGGUUGAAGGUAAGCUGUAAGGCGAACUGGACGUAUCAGAAGUGCGAAUGUUGACAUGAGUAACGAUCAAAGAGGUGAAAAACCUCUUCGCCGAAAAUCCAAGGUUUCCUGUCCAACGCUAAUCGUGGCAGGGUGAGUCGGCUCCUAAGGCGAGGGCGAAAGCCGUAGUCGAUGGAAACAAGGUUAAUAUUCCUUGACUCGAUGGUAGUGACGGAUUUCGUAAAUUGUUAACUCUUAUUGGAUUGAGUUAGCCGUGAAGAAGUCCCAGGAAAUAGCUCCAUCAUAGGACCGUACCCGAAACCGACACAGGUAGAUUAUUAGAGUAUAAUUAGGCGCUUGAGAGAAUGAUGUUGAAGGAACUCGGCAAAAUGCUUCCGUAACUUCGGGAUAAGGAAGACCCUUUUGUAGGCAACUAUGGAAGGGUGGCACAAGCCAGGGAGAAGCGACUGUUUAUCAAAAACACAGGGCUCUGCUAACACGUAAGUGGAUGUAUAGGGUCUGACGCCUGCCCGGUGCUGGAAGGUUAAUGCGGUUGGUGCAAGCUAACUUUUGAAGCCCCAGUAAACGGCGGCCGUAACUAUAACGGUCCUAAGGUAGCGAAAUUCCUUGUCGGGUAAGUUCCGACCUGCAUGAAUGGCGUAACGAUUUCUCCGCUGUCUCCAACAUCAACUCAGUGAAAUUGAAUUCUCCGUGAAGAUGCGGAGUUCGCGUAGUUAGACGGAAAGACCCCGUGCACCUUUACUGCAACUUUACAUUGGUGUUAGGAAAAACAUAUUUAGCAUAGGAGGGAGACUUUGAAGCAAAAGCGUCAGCUUUUGUGGAGUCACCAGUGAAA